CCAAGGAGUCUAACAUGUGCGCGAGUCUUCGGGUCGCCCCCAAACGAGUGGCGAAACCCGUGAGGCGAAAUGAAAGUGAAGGCCUGUCCGUCCGGCCACCCGUUUCAUCCGGCUUGUUUUUUACCUUUCGGGGUUCUUGACUUGCCGCGGUGGCGGGACCGGCCGGCGGCGGUCGAGGCGGGAUCCGAUUCCUUUCUGACCGAAAACGAAAGAACACACACCAGAGGAAAAAAGCCGGGUCGGGGAAAACUGCCAUUUCCUCUCCGCACUUGGUCGGUCCUGCUCGUGCGCGCGCCCUGUCGGGGCGCGGGGCCUUAAAAACCCCGCGUUCCCGGUAGCGGCCGUUGCGUUUCGGGUUGCGGCUGCCGUGCAUCCAAGGGGAGGGUGGCGAAACGAUAAAAAAAAACAAACAAAAAAGCAACCUGUUUCGCGACAGGUUUGCCAAAUAUGCUGGAAAAAAAACCCCGCAAACAACCCGGUCGGCGCACCGCCGGCCCGUCUCCACGCCGCGAACGUCGGCGAGGCGGAGCCAGAGCGUACACGUUGGGACCCGAAAGAUGGUGAACUAUGCUCGGGCAGGACGAAGCCAGAGGAAACUCUGGUGGAGGUCCGUAGCGAUUCUGACGUGCAAAUCGAUCGUCGGACCUGAGUAUAGGGGCGAAAGACUAAUCGAACCGUCUA
This 681-nucleotide ribosomal RNA is filed under the name Newportia quadrimeropus. RNAcentral's name for it is "partial 28S ribosomal RNA". It matches the Rfam family "Eukaryotic large subunit ribosomal RNA", at positions 666 to 946 of the family's 3401-position model. The record is from RNAcentral. Lineage: Eukaryota; Metazoa; Arthropoda; Chilopoda; Scolopendromorpha; Scolopocryptopidae.